AUCUAUAGAUGUACCACUCUGAAUGCACCUGAUCUUGGAAGCUAAGCAGAAUCAAGCCUGGUUAGUAGUUGGAUGGGAAAGUGCAUAGAAACUGGAGACA
RNAcentral lists this ribosomal RNA (100 nucleotides) under Ictidomys tridecemlineatus (thirteen-lined ground squirrel). Lineage: Eukaryota; Metazoa; Chordata; Mammalia; Rodentia; Sciuridae. The record is from RNAcentral.